Monopterus albus (swamp eel) is the source of this 1166-nucleotide long non-coding RNA. RefSeq lists it as uncharacterized. The record is from RefSeq and is a predicted model, not a curated record. NCBI's taxonomy places the organism in Eukaryota, Metazoa, Chordata, Actinopteri, Synbranchiformes, Synbranchidae. The transcript is spliced from 5 exons.
UGGCAUCUUUCAAGACAAAUCACAUCAGACACAGUCGCAGAUUAUGUGAUUAAAUGGGCUGUUUUAUGCAUGAUAGCGCUCUAAUUAGGAACAUGUCAAGCUGAAUUACACUGAGAGGGGAAUAAUAGCAUAAGAAUAUUAAAUGUACGCCACAAUUACGGAGUCAUUUGGCAGAAUGUAAUAGGGCUGUCUCUCCUGUUUCAGGUAAAGCUGAGAAAGCUGAAAAGAAAUCUGUCAAGGAGGUUCAAGAUAAAGAAAAACAACCAGCACAAGCUAAGAAGAGAGCGUCCUGUAAAGCCUGAGGGGAGCCUCAGACUGAAGACAACACUACAGAAAAGAAAAAAACAGGCCAGAGAUUCUUCCAGUGUGUUUAUGUCCCUGGCAAAAAUGUACAGUACCCCUUGCGACCUUUCAGCCCAGCCAUGCCCCCCACCAUGAUGUCCCCUGCACUCAGGUCAAUGCUGGAGCAGCAGCGAGCAGCCAGGGCGUCGGGGCAGUAGGACAAGUGUGACCUCUCACUUCAUAUCUCAUAGCAGUGCAUCCCCAGUCCAGCAGGGGGAGACGUUUGAAUCUGUGGCUUCCUUAGAUUCAGAGGAAAGCUCAUUCAAACAGAAGCAUUUUGUCUUUAAUUUAUUUUCUCUCUUUGUGGUCGAGCUCCUGGGGUUAGUGUUGAUGCUGGUUGCACCGUCUUGGUUAUAUGACAAUCAUUGACAAUAGUCAAACAGAGAAGCCUUUAUAUGAAUAGUCUUAACUUAAUGUGCAUAACAUCCUGUAUGUUUAUAAUUAACACUUGGAAAAAGGUUCAUAACUUGGUCAUUUUUAAGUUUACUAAAAAAAGAUGAAAACAAAAUACUUGUAUUGGGUUUUAAUGGCAAACCUGGCUGCAGGUGGCAUUCUGCAUUGUUAACUACAUAAACCAUCGCAGCAUUGAUGAGACUUGCAUCUGUUCUCUAAAUUUGUGUCUAAAAACACUGAUUUGGCAAGCUGCAACGGGUAUCUGCUCCUAAUGGCAGUGUUAUUGCUGCUGAGCUGUGUCCAUCUAUAGAUUAACAUAUAAAUGUGGAGGGUCGAAUCCCAGGAGCUCCCACGGCUGAUCCCAGCAGCCUCCCUGUCUCUGAUCAUGAGUGAACAUCCAUCAGUCCCAUUAACAGAAGUGACAGCAUCCA